AACGCGAAGAACCUUACCCCCCUUUUCAACCCCCGGUAGGGUUCCCAGAGGUGGUUCCUUCACUUCAGGUGGACCGGACACAGGUGCUGCAUGGCUGUCGUCAGCUCGUGUCGUGAGAUGUUGGGUUAAGUCCCGCAACGAGCGCAACCCUCGCCCUUAGUUGCCAUCAUUCAGUUGGGCACUCUAAGGGGACUGCCGGUGAUAAGCCGAGAGGAAGGUGGGGAUGACGUCAAGUCCUCAUGGCCCUUACGGGCUGGGCUACACACGUGCUACAAUGGUGGUGACAGUGGGCAGCGAGCCGGCGAGGGGAGCUAAUCUCCAAAAGCCGUCUCAGUUCGGAUUGCACUCUGCAACUCGAGUGCAUGAAGUGGAAUCGCUAGUAAUCGCGGAUCAGCAUGCG
Molecule: ribosomal RNA, 400 nt
Filed under: uncultured bacterium
Lineage: Bacteria
Description: bacterial SSU rRNA
Rfam family: Bacterial small subunit ribosomal RNA
Source: RNAcentral